RNAcentral lists this ribosomal RNA (253 nucleotides) under uncultured bacterium. RNAcentral describes it as "partial 16S ribosomal RNA". It matches the Rfam family "Bacterial small subunit ribosomal RNA", at positions 524 to 776 of the family's 1533-position model. The record is from RNAcentral.
UACGGAGGGUCCAAGCGUUAUCCGGAAUCAUUGGGUUUAAAGGGUCCGUAGGCGGUUUAAUAAGUCAGUGGUGAAAGCCCAUCGCUCAACGAUGGAACGGCCAUUGAUACUGUUAAACUUGAAUUAUUAGGAAGUAACUAGAAUAUGUAGUGUAGCGGUGAAAUGCUUAGAGAUUACAUGGAAUACCAAUUGCGAAGGCAGGUUACUACUAAUAUAUUGACGCUGAUGGACGAAAGCGCGGGGAGCGAACAGG